UACGGAGGGUGCAAGCGUUAUCCGGAUUCACUGGGUUUAAAGGGUGCGUAGGCGGAUUUGUAAGUCCGUGGUGAAAUCUCCGAGCUUAACUCGGAAACUGCCAUGGAUACUAUAAGUCUUGAAUGUUGUGGAGGUUUGCGGAAUAUGUCAUGUAGCGGUGAAAUGCUUAGAUAUGACAUAGAACACCGAUUGCGAAGGCAGCAGGCUACACAAAUAUUGACGCUGAGGCACGAAAGCGUGGGGAUCAAACAGG
Molecule: ribosomal RNA, 253 nt
Filed under: uncultured bacterium
Lineage: Bacteria
Description: partial 16S ribosomal RNA
Rfam family: Bacterial small subunit ribosomal RNA
Source: RNAcentral